RNAcentral lists this ribosomal RNA (440 nucleotides) under uncultured bacterium. Its description in RNAcentral is "partial 16S ribosomal RNA". It matches the Rfam family "Bacterial small subunit ribosomal RNA", at positions 338 to 795 of the family's 1533-position model. The record is from RNAcentral.
CCUACGGGAGGCAGCAGUAGGGAAUAUUCCGCAAUGGGCGAAACCCUGACGGAGCAACGCCGCGUGGUUGAUGAAGGUUUUCGGAUUGUAAACUCCUUUUGUUAGAGAAGAUCAUGACGGUGACUAACUAAUCAUCACCUGCUAACUACGUGCCAGCAGCCGCGGUAAUACGGAGGGGGCAAGAGUUACUCGGAAUCACUGUGCGUAAAGAGCGCGUAGGCGGGAUAGCAAGUCAGAUGUGAAAGCCUAUGGCUGAACCAUAGAGGGGCAUUUGAAACUGUGCUUCUUGAGUACGGUAGAGGUAGGUGGAAUUCUAGGUGUAGGGGUAAAAUGCGUAGAGAUAAAGAGGAAUACUCGUGGCGAAGGCGACCUGCUAGAACGUAACUGACGCUGAGGCGCGAAAGCGUGGGGAGCAAACAGGAUUAGAUACCCGAGUAGUC